Molecule: ribosomal RNA, 468 nt
Filed under: uncultured bacterium
Lineage: Bacteria
Description: partial 16S ribosomal RNA
Rfam family: Bacterial small subunit ribosomal RNA
Source: RNAcentral
GACGAACGCUGGCGGCGUGCUUAACACAUGCAAGUCGAACGGAAAGGCCCUGCUUUUGUGGGGUGCUCGAGUGGCGAACGGGUGUGUAACCCGUGAGUCACCUGCCCUUGACUUUGGGACAACUUCAGGAAACUGGGGCUACUACCGGAUAGGAGCUCCUGCUGCUUGGUGGGGGUUGGAACGUUUAGGCGGUUGGGGAUGGACUCGCGGCUUAUCAGCUUGUUGGUGGGGUAGUGGCUUACCCAGGCUUUGACGGGUAGCCGGCCUGAGAGGGUGACCGGCCACAUUGGGACUGAGAUACGGCCCAGACGCCUACGGGAGGCAGCAGUGGGGAAUAUUGCACAAUGGGCGGAAGCCUGAUGCAGCAACGCCGCGUGCGGGAUGACGGCCUUCGGGUUGGAAACCGCUUUCGCCUGUGACGAAGCGUGAGUGACGGUAAUGGGUAAAGAAGCACCGGCUAACUACGUG